UUCGUCGCUAAAAUUUAAUGUAAAUAAUUAUAUUUAUUUGUAGCAACAAAUGUCAUAAUUCGUAGCUAAUUUGUUGGUAGUUUUUUUACCGAGUCACACUCAUCAGUCCAUAGAAAAUACAAAAAGGAAACAAAAAACUAAAAUGCCUAAAAAAUAGGGGUUUCUCUCAACUGCAGCAGUUGAGAGAUUCUCCUGUCUAUCAGGUAUUGCUCCCAUCCCUUCUCCUUUUAAUUUCACCCCUCUCCUUCUCCUUUGGAUUUUUCCCAUAUCCUUAUCCUUUUGAUUGCUCCCAUCUCAAGGUGAAAUUGCUCUUGUCUUAGGUGAAAGUGAGCUUCUAGUGCACAGAAGAGGAGGGUGUGGAGUUGUAUUUGGUGAAAAAUAACUGGGGGAAUUAGAUGAGAUUAUCAAGGAAGACCAUUAGUCUUCUGGAAACAUGCUGGGAUACGUGACGUUAAGAUAUUGAUGUACACAUUGUUAGAUUCUUGUAUUUUUUUUUAUAUGUUCUCAUCUAACAUUCUCUUUUAGUUGCUACCUUUUUUUUGAAAACAACUACUGGUUAGAAAGCCUUAAGUUUUCUUAGAACACUUAAUGAUAGUGUGUUCAAAUAAAGAGUAUGCUAAUUACUUCCCUACAUAUGCGAUGCUUAUUUGGUAUUACAUUGCUUUUGGCAACACAUAAA
Molecule: long non-coding RNA, 679 nt
Organism: Solanum lycopersicum (tomato)
Lineage: Eukaryota; Viridiplantae; Streptophyta; Magnoliopsida; Solanales; Solanaceae
Source: RefSeq, a predicted model, not a curated record